CAGUAGCCACGGUAAUACGUAGGGGGCGAGCGUUGUCCGGAAUUACUGGGCGUAAAGGGUUCGCAGGCGGCAUGACAAGUCCGAUGUAAAAGGCGAAAGCUCAACUUUCGUAAGCAUCGGAAACUGUCAAGCUUGAGUGAAGGAGAGGCAAGUGGAAUUCCUAGUGUAGCGGUGGAAUGCGUAGAUAUUAGGAGGAAUACCGGUGGCGAAGGCGACUUGCUGGACUUCAACUGACGCUGAGGAACGAAAGCGUGGGUAGCAAACAGGAUUAGAUACCCGAGUAGUCCCUGUCUCUUAUACC
RNAcentral lists this ribosomal RNA (301 nucleotides) under uncultured bacterium. RNAcentral describes it as "partial 16S ribosomal RNA". It matches the Rfam family "Bacterial small subunit ribosomal RNA", at positions 509 to 808 of the family's 1533-position model. The record is from RNAcentral.